Molecule: long non-coding RNA, 925 nt
Filed under: Equus caballus (horse)
Lineage: Eukaryota; Metazoa; Chordata; Mammalia; Perissodactyla; Equidae
Description: lncRNA (ENSECAG00000034757.3)
Source: RNAcentral
AGCAGGCUGGGGGGGGCAGCGGAAGGACUUCGCUUCUCCUCUAUGACCUGGGGGUGUGGAGCGAAGAGGGACGUGAGCUGGGUCGGGACGUGAGCUGGGGCGGGACGUGAGCUGGGUCACGCUUGGGAAUAGCACAGGGGAUUGACUGUCGGGAGCCGAGGUGCAGGCGGUUUACCAACAGGAGUCCUCGCCAGGACUGUCAGUGCCUGGCACUGACUCGUCUUCCUCCUACAACAGACUCAAGGGGGCAAGCCUUCACCAACAGAAGGCAACGGAGACUAGUUCCCUGAUAUUUCUGGAGGAAAAAGCAUAAGCUGUGCUACUUAAGUCCUGGAACUUUAAAGGGGACCAGCUGCCAAUGGGAUGGUUCCCAGCCCGACCCUGAAGCCAGCCUUCCUGCAAAGCCUCACAGCCUGGAGCCUUCUGAAUAUCUCAGAUACUCAUCUGGAGGCUACAGACAUGGUUGUGUGAAGCUGACAGAUAGGAUCAUCUGUUUGAAUGCCUCUGGACACCGUGGGAAGACAAAAAAGAUAACUAUUAAAGAAUAUCAAGAGAUUUUGCUCUUGGAGACAUUCAGAUGCAUGACUAUGGAUCAACUUCUCAGGAUACAAGAAGAGUGUCAGGAAGCUGGAGCUUUUUCAGGAACACUGGGAAACCCAGCCAAGGUUUAUCUCUCCACAAUUACAAAUGACUAAUAGUAGCAAUGAAAGCAAGACUAAGUUUUAAAAGACUGAGAUGAUGCACAGUGUAUUCUCUGAUCACAAUAGAAUUGAAUCAGAAACCAAACAAAAAGAUAGGUGGAAAAUCCCUAAGUAUUUGCCAACGAAAUAACACAUGUCAGAAUAAUUUAUGGGCCAAAGAAGAAAUUUCCAGAUAAGUUAGAUAAUAAUUUAAAUUGAAUUAAAUAAAAACCAGCAUUUCAAAA